UUUAAUUUGCCAAGAAAAAUUGCAAGCUAAAAUAGGUCCUACUCAGUAAUUUUGUUCUUCUAGGCAAACUCUUUCUCCUCUCUUUCUACCUAAAGCUAAAAGCUAUUUUCUUCCCUUCCACGGGCCGAUAGCGGUACCAGGCUUCGUCACCUGCCUUCCCGCAUCAAGUUGGAACCAAUUAGGCAAAACCAUUCACUCAUUCAGAAAUUAUUAUGAACAGAAAGAAGUGCAGAUAUCCUCUUUAAUGGAGAAAAGAAAUUUGAAGGUAAUCAGAUCGGAUUUAUAGAAGGAUCAUGAAGUCGAACAGUGGCCAUGAAUAGCACCAAGUGGAGCGAGCGAUCGCCUAUGAUAUAAAUAUUAUACUCUGUCAACUCGAUUAGAUAUUUUAAAUCAAUAUUGUGUUUUUUUUCUUUGUAUAAGUAGUUUAUUAUUAGACUUUCUAUAUAAAAAUAUAGAAACAUAUUGAUCAAUUUCAUAUUUAUAUACAGUUUUCCUCGAAAUUUUAGUUUGAUUUAUUCUCAAAGUUCCUACUCUGUUGACUUGGACUAACAAGUCUUUUGAUGUUACUCCGAGUGGUUUAAGUACGAGGCUUCAUCACCUGCCUUCCCACAUCAGGUUGGAACCAAUUAGGCAAAACCAUUCACUCAUACAGAAAUUAUCAUGAACAGGUAAUUUUACUUUUCUUCUGGUUGUUUUUAAUGCAUUUGCUUUCCCCUCAAAGAAAAGCUUUGGAAUUGGUAAUAUUGCAAGUGAAUUAAAUGUAAAAUUUUGAAUAUUUAAUUUA
Non-coding RNA from Jatropha curcas, 784 nucleotides. NCBI's taxonomy places the organism in Eukaryota, Viridiplantae, Streptophyta, Magnoliopsida, Malpighiales, Euphorbiaceae. The record is from RefSeq and is a predicted model, not a curated record.